UAAUUUUUGAUAAAUAAAAACAAUUAAAAUAUUCCAAAUUUAGUAUCUGUUAGAAUUCUAAUCAUUCAGAAUAGAAAAAAUAACAGCAAAAUAAGCUCUACCUUUGUGAGGUCAAAUGUAGGUCCCAUGGGUAUUUUCUGAAAAUCUUGUUAUCGAGCGAUUAAAUUUGAAAACAACUAUGACCUAGUUAAGGAAUGUUUAUAAUCGGAUUUAUUAUAAGGGUCAAACAGCUAUCUAUUAAGCGUUUUUGGUUGUGAAAAUGUGUUUGUGAACUACAUUUUACUUCAUCUACCUGAGAAUAUUGUUAUUUUGUCUGUUCAAAGCAUACAAGUAAAAUAACAGCGUGACAUAAAAAUGUCUGGUUGGGUUUGGAUACGGCGUUCUCUUCAGCGAGCACGUCCCAUUGGGUAAUAUAUAGCGUGUUCGCUGAAGUUCUUUAGCUAGAUCAAAUCUUGCGGGGGACCCCACUAAUCAGCUAACAGCUGGUUGGAUUAAUCAACAUAAAGCUUUGUGUACGAAGAAUUUUGUUGGUGCUAAUUGGCCAACAGAGAUACAUCCUGACCCGGUUCGAGCAGAUGGAUCUCUAGGUUAAAAUAAAAGACGUCUAAAAUGGGAUUGCCCAUUAAAAAUCUUAAACAAAUCGGUCCACAAACAAUUAUUUGGCCAAAUGGAUCCCACGAUGAUCCCAUGCUACACCUGCUCGGGGGCUGUUGGUCAAUCAUCUCUGGUGUCUAGCCUUAAGGGUGACCAAAACUAAUCCAACAGUCAGGAUAUCUUAACACAGGAAUGCGGAAAGGAAUCUGGGGUUUCCACACAGACUGAAAAUUUAUGGGUGUGUCUACUUGAUAAGUUGGUGUCGGCAGUAAAGAAUGCUCAGAUGAAACAGAAAGUGAUCACCCAGGGUGAACAACUGACACGCCUAAGGAGAGAUAUUUCAUCUAAAGACAAUGAAAUAAAGCAGCUGAUGUCACAUUCAUGUAGAAAGCAGGCUUUUAAUAUUAUGCAAAUAUCAGAUUGGGAUUGCAUACUCUCCUCAACUUUGUAGUUCCUCCAAAUUAUUCAGUGCCUUAUGAAGCUUUACGUAGUGAUUUGAAAUCAUUACAACCGGAGAAUGGCAGUAUUCUUACUCUUUGUCAACUAAUGCAUGACUUUGGAAUUAAGGAAUGUCAGUAAGAUUUGGAUUAGGCCUACACUCAACAGAUGUUGCUUUUAACACAUGUAUUGAUAUUAUGUACAUUAAAUUGUGCCAGCUU
Long non-coding RNA from Mya arenaria, 1253 nucleotides. RefSeq lists it as uncharacterized. The transcript is spliced from 4 exons. Lineage: Eukaryota; Metazoa; Mollusca; Bivalvia; Myida; Myidae. The record is from RefSeq and is a predicted model, not a curated record.